RNAcentral lists this transfer RNA (73 nucleotides) under Actinomadura viridis. RNAcentral describes it as "tRNA-Ser". The record is from RNAcentral. Lineage: Bacteria; Bacillati; Actinomycetota; Actinomycetes; Streptosporangiales; Thermomonosporaceae.
GCCCGAAGUGCAGGCAACGGUUUCUUCCACUGGUUAAUGGAGAGGUCGCAGGUUCGAAUCCUGUCACCGGGCC